UACAGAGGUCUCAAGCGUUGUUCGGAUUCAUUGGGCGUAAAGGGUGCGUAGGUGGCAUGGUAAGUCGGAUGUGAAAUCCCGGGGCUCAACCCCGGAACUGCAUUCGAUACUGCUGCGCUAGAGUACUGGAGAGGAGAUUGGAAUUUACGGUGUAGCAGUGAAAUGCGUAGAUAUCGUAAGGAAGACCAGUGGCGAAGGCGGAUCUCUGGACAGUUACUGACACUGAGGCAG
This 231-nucleotide ribosomal RNA is filed under the name uncultured bacterium. Its description in RNAcentral is "partial 16S ribosomal RNA". It matches the Rfam family "Bacterial small subunit ribosomal RNA", at positions 524 to 754 of the family's 1533-position model. The record is from RNAcentral.